Molecule: long non-coding RNA, 619 nt
Filed under: Corvus moneduloides (New Caledonian crow)
Lineage: Eukaryota; Metazoa; Chordata; Aves; Passeriformes; Corvidae
Description: lncRNA (ENSCMUG00000015227.2)
Source: RNAcentral
CCGGGCAUGAUUUGUUUUGUUUUAAUUCUUUUUAAAACCAGGCACAGCUCUUAUCUGUGCGGAAACACUAAAUUCUUGGUAUCUUUUUGUUCCCCUGCAGAUGAUUUGACAGCGAUGUUUACAGAACUCACGAUUUAGGGAAAAAAAACCAAAAACGAGAAGGGAGGAAAGAAUAGAAGCGAACUGAACUGAGCUGACCCAAGAGAGGCUCCUGCCACUCCACGAAGCAGCUGUUAAUGAUGCCUUUGAUAAGACUUUAAUGACAUUUAGAGAGGACUGGGCACAUGUGGCAGGACGCAGGGCUUCUCCUCGGAGCGGGCACGUGGUAAUAUUUGAUCAGCGAUACUGCGUUACAGGAGCUGUCUCCAGGACUGCUGCUUCCUGCUGCAGAGGAGGUAUUGCCUGGCAGGAGUGUUUCAGGAAUUAACAAAAAGCAAAAUUGAGACCAGCAGAGCAAGCAGUCUCGGCAAACUGUCGAAGGUACAUUUUUCUUCAUUAUUUUCUCACUGAACCAUGAUGAUAUCUGAUGGAGCAUUAUGGAUGGCGAGAAGGAAAGAAGUGUAAGCAAAGCUUUAAAACUAGCCACUGCUCUGGCUAAUGAGGCAAAAAGGAAAUUCUG